GGAUCCAGACUUUGAUCAUGGCUCAGGACGAACGCUGGCGGCGUGCCUAACACAUGCAAGUCGAACGAAGCUCUGCGAUACAAGACUUCGGUCAAGUUGAACGGAUGACUUAGUGGCGGACGGGUGAGUAACGCGUGAGGAACCUGCCUUUCAGUGGGGGACAACAGUUGGAAACGACUGCUAAUACCGCAUAAUGUAUUCUGACCGCAUGAUCGGAAUACCAAAGAUUUAUUGCUGAAAGAUGGCCUCGCGUCUGAUUAGAUAGUUGGUGAGGUAACGGCUCACCAAGUCGACGAUCAGUAGCCGGACUGAGAGGUUGAACGGCCACAUUGGGACUGAGAUACGGCCCAGACUCCUACGGGAGGCAGCAGUGGGGAAUAUUGGGCAAUGGGGGAAACCCUGACCCAGCAACGCCGCGUGAAGGAAGAAGGCUUUCGGGUUGUAAACUUCUUUUACCAGGGACGAAGGACGUGACGGUACCUGGAGAAAAAGCCACGGCUAACUACGUGCCAGCAGCCGCGGUAAUACGUAGGUGGCAAGCGUUGUCCGGAUUUACUGGGUGUAAAGGGCGUGUAGGCGGAGAAGCAAGUCAGAAGUGAAAUCCAUGGGCUUAACCCAUGAACUGCUUUUGAAACUGUUUCCCUUGAGUAUCGGAGAGGCAGGCGGAAUUCCUAGUGUAGCGGUGAAAUGCGUAGAUAUUAGGAGGAACACCAGUGGCGAAGGCGGCCUGCUGGACGACAACUGACGCUGAGGCGCGAAAGCGUGGGGAGCAAACAGGAUUAGAUACCCUGGUAGUCCACGCUGUAAACGAUGAAUACUAGGUGUGGGAGGACUGACCCCUUCCGUGCCGCAGUUAACACAAUAAGUAUUCCACCUGGGGAGUACGAUCGCAAGAUUGCAACUCAA
This 906-nucleotide ribosomal RNA is filed under the name uncultured Bacillota bacterium. Its description in RNAcentral is "bacterial SSU rRNA". It matches the Rfam family "Bacterial small subunit ribosomal RNA", at positions 1 to 904 of the family's 1533-position model. The record is from RNAcentral. Lineage: Bacteria; Bacillati; Bacillota.